This 1008-nucleotide ribosomal RNA is filed under the name uncultured bacterium. RNAcentral's name for it is "bacterial SSU rRNA". It matches the Rfam family "Bacterial small subunit ribosomal RNA", at positions 445 to 1463 of the family's 1533-position model. The record is from RNAcentral.
CAGAAAAACUUCCCACGUGUUGGGAGCCCGACGGUAGUGUAUGAAUAAGCAUCGGCUAACUCCGUGCCAGCAGCCGCGGUAAUACGGAGGAUGCAAGCGUUAUCCGGGAUUCAUUGGGUUUAAAGGGUGCGUAGGCGGCUCUUUAAGUCAGUGGUGAAAUCUUGCCGCUUAACGGUAAAAUUGCCAUUGAUACUGAAGAGCUUGAGUACAGUUGAGGUAAGCGGAAUGUGUAGUGUAGCGGUGAAAUGCUUAGAUAUUACACAGAACACCGAUUGCGAAGGCAGCUUACUAAGCUGUUACUGACGCUGAUGCACGAAAGCGUGGGGAGCGAACAGGAUUAGAUACCCUGGCAGUCCACGCCGUAAACGAUGAUCACUCGCUGUAUGCGAUACACAGUAUGCGGCCAAGCGAAAGCAUUAAGUGAUCCACCUGGGGAGUACGAUCGCAAGGUUGAAACUCAAAGGAAUUGACGGGGGCCCGCACAAGCGGAGGAACAUGUGGUUUAAUUCGAUGAUACGCGAGGAACCUUACCUGGGCUUAAAUGGGGAACGACAGCUGCCGAAAGGUGGCCUUCUUCGGACGUUCUUCAAGGUGCUGCAUGGUUGUCGUCAGCUCGUGCCGUGAGGUGUCGGGUUAAGUCCCAUAACGAGCGCAACCCUUAUCGUUAGUUGCCAGCGGGUCAAGCCGGGGACUCUAGCGAGACUGCCACCGUAAGGUGUGAGGAAGGUGGGGAUGACGUCAAAUCAGCACGGCCCUUAUGUCCAGGGCUACACACGUGUUACAAUGGCCGAUACAAAGGGCAGCUACCAGGUGACUGGAUGCUAAUCUCUAAAGUCGGUCUCAGUUCGGAUCGAAGUCUGCAACCCGACUUCGUGAAGCUGGAUUCGCUAGUAAUCGCAUAUCAGCCAUGAUGCGGUGAAUACGUUCCCGGGCCUUGUACACACCGCCCGUCAAACAAUGGAAGCUGGGGGUACCUGAAGUCUGUAACCGCAAGGAGCGGCCUAGGGA